RNAcentral lists this ribosomal RNA (520 nucleotides) under uncultured Glomus. Its description in RNAcentral is "SSU rRNA". It matches the Rfam family "Eukaryotic small subunit ribosomal RNA", at positions 569 to 1086 of the family's 1831-position model. The record is from RNAcentral. Lineage: Eukaryota; Fungi; Glomeromycota; Glomeromycetes; Glomerales; Glomeraceae.
AGCAGCCGCGGUAAUUCCAGCUCCAAUAGCGUAUAUUAAAGUUGUUGCAGUUAAAAAGCUCGUAGUUGAAUUUCGAGACCGGCUUACUGGUCGUGCUUUUGUGCGUACUGGUAUAAUCGGUUUCUCCUUUCUGACGAACUUUAAUGCCAUUAAUUUGGUGUUUUAGGGAAUCAGGACUGUUACUUUGAAAAAAAUUAGAGUGUUUAAAAGCAGGCUCACGCUUGAAUACAUUAGCAUGGAAUAACGGAAUAGGACGUUUGAUUCUAUUUUGUUGGUUUCUAGGAUCGACGUAAUGAUUAAUAGGGAUAGUUGGGGGCAUUAGUAUUCAAUUGUCAGAGGUGAAAAUUCUUGGAUUUAUUGAAGACUAACUACUGCGAAAGCAUUUGCCAAGGAUGUUUUCAUUAAUCAAGAACGAAAGUUAGGGGAUCGAAGACGAUCAGAUACCGUCGUAGUCUUAACCAUAAACUAUGCCGACUAGGGAUCGGAUGAUGUUAAAUUUUUUAAAUGACUCGUUUGGCAC